This 472-nucleotide ribosomal RNA is filed under the name Streptococcus gordonii. Its description in RNAcentral is "bacterial SSU rRNA". It matches the Rfam family "Bacterial small subunit ribosomal RNA", at positions 28 to 474 of the family's 1533-position model. The record is from RNAcentral. Lineage: Bacteria; Bacillati; Bacillota; Bacilli; Lactobacillales; Streptococcaceae.
GACGAACGCUGGCGGCGUGCCUAAUACAUGCAAGUAGAACGCACAGUUUAUACCGUAGCUUGCUACACCAUAGACUGUGAGUUGCGAACGGGUGAGUAACGCGUAGGUAACCUGCCUGGUAGCGGGGGAUAACUAUUGGAAACGAUAGCUAAUACCGCAUAAUAUUGAUUAUUGCAUGAUAAUUGAUUGAAAGAUGCUAUUGCAUCACUACCAGAUGGACCUGCGUUGUAUUAGCUAGUAGGUGAGGUAACGGCUCACCUAGGCGACGAUACAUAGCCGACCUGAGAGGGUGAUCGGCCACACUGGGACUGAGACACGGCCCAGACUCCUACGGGAGGCAGCAGUAGGGAAUCUUCGGCAAUGGACGAAAGUCUGACCGAGCAACGCCGCGUGAGUGAAGAAGGUUUUCGGAUCGUAAAGCUCUGUUGUAAGAGAAGAACGGGUGUGAGAGUGGAAAGUUCACACUGUGACG